Molecule: transfer RNA, 632 nt
Filed under: uncultured Synechococcus sp.
Lineage: Bacteria; Bacillati; Cyanobacteriota; Cyanophyceae; Synechococcales; Synechococcaceae
Description: 16S-23S ribosomal RNA intergenic spacer
Rfam family: tRNA (bases 251-323)
Source: RNAcentral
CAGGGAGACAAUAAAUUGAUUGUGAUGUCUAAGUUAUUUAUUCUUAGGCCGCAAUCCUGUCACCUUAAGGUCGAUCGGUACCUCAGAUUUUUGAAUUAGUUUUAUAAUUGAUUCUUUGAUUUCAGUUCCUAAACUUGUCUAGGUCACACCCAACAAAGGUUUCUCCUGGGCCAUUAGCUCAGGUGGUUAGAGCGCACCCCUGAUAAGGGUGAGGUCCCUGGUUCAAGUCCAGGAUGGCCCAUUCGUUGUUGGGGGUAUAGCUCAGUUGGUAGAGCGCCUGCUUUGCAAGCAGGAUGUCAGCGGUUCGAGUCCGCUUACCUCCACUGAAAACUAUCCUGAUAACUAAAUUCUGGAGAAAAAAAUUGUAGAUGUGGCUUAGAAUUGUCUAUUUGAAGAGAACCUAGCUUCUUGUCAUCUUUUUAUAGUUGAUAAAAUGCUGGGCUCGCAUGGAUUAUUUCCAUGAGAAUUCAGUAGAACCUUGAAAACUGCAUAGAUAAGAAAGAAUAAAGCAUCUCAUGGAUGCAUAAUUCUGUUUUUAUAAUUUAGCCUUAAAACUAAAUUAUUUAAUUCUAGAAUUCAUGUUUAAUUCUUGAGUAAAAGCCGAGCACAAUUGAUUUUGUGAUUGUAUUUAA